This 1850-nucleotide long non-coding RNA is filed under the name Gallus gallus (chicken). RNAcentral's name for it is "lncRNA (ENSGALG00010023610.1)". The record is from RNAcentral. Lineage: Eukaryota; Metazoa; Chordata; Aves; Galliformes; Phasianidae.
UGAGUGAGUACUGCUGAAUCAGGAGAAUCACAGUCUGGUCUCAACAAUGUUUCUUUUAACCAACAACUUAAUCUUUUAAGCCUCACAUUAGCUAAAAGGGCUUUUACAGGCCCUUGGUAAAACCCAGCUGUUACUUUCAGAGAUGCUGUAAGUACCAGAGCAGAGGACAUGGUCUCAGCUCUCAGUUCAGGCAUGUUUCCUUGCAUCAUUCCAGAAUGCUGACUGCUUACUUUUGGGUCAUAAGAGGCAAAUUCAUCCCUAGAAUGAGUCAGUGGAUUUCCACUAGAGCUGACAGCUCCCUGCUCGGGGAUGCUCCCAUACGUUGCAGAAAUCCUCCUGUGGAGACAACAAGGCAGUGGAGCAGCACACACAUGCUCAGAGGAAGUAACAACUUAGAUGCAGUAAUCAAGAAGCAGAUAGAUCCAGAGAAGGGAACAUCGCCAUAGCUCAUAUAAAUUGGAGAAACUGUAAUAGAACCUUAAAGCUAGGAACACUGUUUUUUAUCUGAACUGAAAGGCACUGGCUGUGGUGGUACACAGAGACAUCAAAACAAGAAUAGGAGGUGGAAAUGAGUGGAAAGAGAGCAUUUUGGAUUGAAGUCUCUAAACCCAUCAAAACUGCCAUUGUAAAUCAAACUGACAGUCAAUUACAAGAUGAACUACGCAUUUGAACAAGUCCAGCUUAGAAAGCCCAGCCAUCUCUAAUAUACUUAUGGACCUGCAAAUGCUCUUCAUUUGCAGGACAGAGGGGUGACCACCGCGUGCGAUCAGCUGCUGCUGAGGUGUGGUAUAUAAAAAAAUAGCAGAACUGUAAAGGAACUCAGAGGAAUUUAGUCAAAAUGAUCAGAAAAGCGUUAUCUGCCUCCCAAGGAAUAAACUUGAGUUGGAAUUCUAACAGCGCAAAGCAAAGCACAGGAGAGGAUGUGGUAACCGAGCAUAACAAGAGUGAGGAGGAACAGGCCUGUCCCCAUCUGCUUCUUUGCACCCCGUGGAUUUGCAGGAACACUGUGUCCCUGCCUGGGCUCUGGCUGGAGUAGAACAAGAAGGAAAGAAAGCCACAGUGUCAAAACUUGAAUUACUGCAGUAGCAGCAGAUAGAGGAAUGGCCAUUAGCAUUACCCAUUGUGACACUGUGCUCAAUCCAUCAGUUUGAGUACCUUAUGUUAAGUGGCAGUGGACUUCAGAGAUCAGUAGUGCUUUUUUGUUCUAUUUAAUCUCUCCUGCUUUUCUCAUCAUUCCCAGUCUUGCUCCUAACCCAUUGCUUUCCUGCUAUUCUUUUGUUAAGUCAAUAAGUGAUCUCCUUCAUGGGCCAGAAUAACAUGACAUUUAGUGGGAUAAGUAGUUUCUUUCCUGCAUGAAUUGUGUUUCACCUGGCAUCCACACCCACUCUCUCUUCAAUUAUAUCUUUAAAAGAAACUUAACAAUGUCUUCUGUUACUUGAUUGCUUUGAGGGGUCCCAAUUCUUUAACUGCUCCAGUGCUAGACAGGGACAGCAAAGCAAUGGGCUGUGAAUUGCACCUAGAAGCACAUACACAUUUGUUCCUGCAUACUUCAGUGGUUUCUUCUCCCAGAGAACACAAGGCUGGAAAAUGGAGUGUUUCUUGUGCCUGCACCUCCUUGGCAGCUGCCUGCUGGUCUGUUAAGUAGACCAGACGGAGGUGGGGAUGACUUGUUCGCUGUUACAGGAUCCCACUUAUGCAACAAACCUAGCAACUAUCCAAGGAGAUGAGAGAGUACGUUUUUUGAAGAGAGUGUGUACAGAAGGAAUUCUGGAAAUACUUCUUCCUCUUUUUGACAUCCAAAAAAGAGAGGACGCUGAUAGGCUGGAAUGAGACCAGGUAAUAAAGGGAAG